Molecule: non-coding RNA, 167 nt
Filed under: Paucilactobacillus nenjiangensis
Lineage: Bacteria; Bacillati; Bacillota; Bacilli; Lactobacillales; Lactobacillaceae
Description: Lysine riboswitch
Rfam family: Lysine riboswitch aptamer
About the family: Riboswitches are metabolite binding domains within certain messenger RNAs that serve as precision sensors for their corresponding targets. Allosteric rearrangement of mRNA structure is mediated by ligand binding, and this results in modulation of gene expression.
Source: RNAcentral
AAAGAAGAGGUCGCGUGACUCAUCAGUAGAUGGCUUUAGACGAAUGAGCGUCGUAGAGCUGUUGAAAGGGUGCCAUGCCGAAAUGGAUGACUACUUAUUUUAGUUGUCUGUUGGGCCCUGGUCUAAUAAAUCAGGGACUGUCGCAAAAAUAUUUGCGGGGCGCUGUC